GUGCCAGCCGCCGCGGUAAUACGGAGGGUGCAAGCGUUAAUCGGAAUUACUGGGCGUAAAGCGUACGUAGGCGGUGUGUUAAGCUAGAUGUGAAAGCCCCGGGCUCAACCUGGGAAUUGCAUUUAGAACUGGCACGCUAGAGUCCUGAAGAGGGUGGUAGAAUUUCCAGUGUAGCGGUGAAAUGCGUAGAUAUUGGAAGGAAUACCGGUGGCGAAGGCGGCCACCUGGUCAGAGACUGACGCUGAGGUACGAAAGCGUGGGGAGCAAACAGGAUUAGAAACCCGGGUAGUCC
Molecule: ribosomal RNA, 292 nt
Filed under: uncultured bacterium
Lineage: Bacteria
Description: partial 16S ribosomal RNA
Rfam family: Bacterial small subunit ribosomal RNA
Source: RNAcentral